AGGGGCAGGCCAGAUCCUGGGCUAUGCCCCCAGCGCCCUGUGCUCCCAGUCUGAGCUGUUGGAUUCGCACUUGGGACCGCGCAGCCUCCU
Molecule: microRNA precursor, 90 nt
Filed under: Canis lupus familiaris (dog)
Lineage: Eukaryota; Metazoa; Chordata; Mammalia; Carnivora; Canidae
Also listed under: 1 other name
Description: mir-8799 microRNA precursor family
Rfam family: mir-8799 microRNA precursor family
Source: Rfam by way of RNAcentral